RNAcentral lists this ribosomal RNA (402 nucleotides) under uncultured bacterium. Its description in RNAcentral is "bacterial SSU rRNA". It matches the Rfam family "Bacterial small subunit ribosomal RNA", at positions 975 to 1375 of the family's 1533-position model. The record is from RNAcentral.
CUGGACUAGAAUGUGAGGGAAUGUCGAGUAAUGCCGAUAGUCCGGGAAACCGGACCCAAAACAAGGUGCUGCAUGGCUGUCGUCAGCUCGUGUCGUGAGAUGUUGGGUUAAGUCCCGCAACGAGUGCAACCCUUAUCACUAGUUGCCAACACGUAAUGGUGGGAACUCUAGUGAGACUGCCUGGGUUAACCAGGAGGAAGGUGAGGAUGACGUCAAGUCCGCAUGGCCCUUAUGUCUGGGGCAACACACGUGCUACAAUGGUCGGUACAGAAGGCAGCGAAACCGCGAGGUGGAGCAAAUCCCAAAAACCGAUCUCAGUUCAGAUUGUAGUCUGCAACCCGGCUACAUGAAGACGGAAUUGCUAGUAAUGGCGGGUCAGCACACCGCCGUGAAUACGUUCCC